RNAcentral lists this ribosomal RNA (482 nucleotides) under uncultured bacterium. RNAcentral describes it as "partial 16S ribosomal RNA". It matches the Rfam family "Bacterial small subunit ribosomal RNA", at positions 30 to 507 of the family's 1533-position model. The record is from RNAcentral.
AUUGAACGCUGGCGGCAUGCCUUACACAUGCAAGUCGAACGGUAACGGGCCUUCGGGUGCCGACGAGUGGCGAACGGGUGAGUAAUACAUCGGAACGUGCCCGAUCGUGGGGGAUAACGAGGCGAAAGCUUUGCUAAUACCGCAUACGAUCUACGGAUGAAAGCAGGGGACCGCAAGGCCUUGCGCGGACGGAGCGGCCGAUGGCAGAUUAGGUAGUUGGUGGGAUAAAAGCUUACCAAGCCGACGAUCUGUAGCUGGUCUGAGAGGAUGAUCAGCCACACUGGGACUGAGACACGGCCCAGAAUCCUACGGGAGGCAGCAGUGGGGAAUUUUGGACAAAGGGCGCAAGCCUGAUCCAGCCAUGCCGCGUGCAGGAUGAAGGCCUUCGGGUUGUAAACUGCUUUUGUACGGAACGAAAAGCCUUCUUUUAAUACAGGAGGGUCAUGACGGUACCGUAAGAAUAAGCACCGGCUAACUACGUG